RNAcentral lists this ribosomal RNA (497 nucleotides) under uncultured bacterium. RNAcentral's name for it is "partial 16S ribosomal RNA". It matches the Rfam family "Bacterial small subunit ribosomal RNA", at positions 28 to 507 of the family's 1533-position model. The record is from RNAcentral.
GAUGAACGCUGGCGGCGUGCCUAAUACAUGCAAGUCGAGCGAACAGACGCGGAGCUUGCUCCUCUGACGUUUGCGGCGGACGGGUGUGUAACACGUGGAUAACCUACCUAUCAUACUGGGAUCACUUCGGGACACCGGCGCUAAUACCGGAUAAUCUAUUGAACCGCAUGGUUCAAUAGUGAAAGACGGUUUUGCUGUCACUUAUAGAUGGAUCCGCGCCGCAUUAGCUAGUUGGUAAGGUAACGGCUUACCAAGGCAACGAUGCGUAGCCGACCGGAGAGGGUGAUCGGCGACACUGGAACUGAGACACGGUCAAGACUCCUACGGGAGGCAGCAGUAGGGAAUCGUACGCAAUGGGCGAAAGCUUGACGGAGCAACGCCGCGUGAGUGAUGAAGGUGUUCGGAUCGUAAAACUCUGUUAUUAGGGAAGAACAAAUGUGUAAGGAAAUAUGCACGUAGUGACGGUACCUAAUCAGAAAGCCACGGCUAACUACGUG